Molecule: long non-coding RNA, 636 nt
Organism: Entelurus aequoreus (snake pipefish)
Lineage: Eukaryota; Metazoa; Chordata; Actinopteri; Syngnathiformes; Syngnathidae
Exons: 3
Source: RefSeq, a predicted model, not a curated record
UGAAGAGUAGUGCAAAGCGUUGUGUACUGAUGACGGGUUACCUACAGAGGAUGUGGGUUUUAUGUGUGUGGUGAUCUCCAUCUGCUCCGGCAUAGCAGACCUGUAAGUGAGGGAAGACCUCAUUCUUCGAUCAAAUGGAUCCAUAUAGUCAGACUCUCCAUAUGGGACAUCUGGGUUUUUCAGGUCUUCCGGUAGACGGAGUCCAACGUGUGCCUCAACUGGUCCCGACGAUCCAACGUUUGGCUGCAGUGGGAAUUAUAUUUUGGCCAGGUUCGCAUAUCAUGCAGACCGUUGGAGUGGAGAGAACCCUCUGGUUGGCACAGCUCAGCUGGCACGGCGGACCUUGCGUACAGCGUUCUAAACUCCUCAUCGUAGGACUUCACCAGAUGGCCUGUAAUAACUUGCACCAUGCUCAGAUUGAUCCUUCCACAAGACCAAGUAAAGCUGCCAACAGACAAAAAUGAGUUCCAUCUUAGAAAAUCACUGGAAUAACAAAACGAUUUGUGUCAAGCAGCAGAAACUUCCAUAAUCAGAGCAGUCCUAAUUUUCUGGGAAGGAACCGUUCAAUCAGUCAGUAAUUGGACUAAUUAGGUUCAUAGCUACCCUGGACUAUGUACAAAAUGCUUUCUGGUUAAU